RNAcentral lists this small RNA (133 nucleotides) under Klebsiella variicola. RNAcentral describes it as "RtT sRNA". It matches the Rfam family "RtT RNA". Rfam says of the family: This family represents a bacterial cis-regulatory element known as RtT RNA. The record is from RNAcentral. Lineage: Bacteria; Pseudomonadati; Pseudomonadota; Gammaproteobacteria; Enterobacterales; Enterobacteriaceae. RNAcentral also lists the same sequence under 1 other name.
UGCAUCUGAGGCCUGCGAGGAUGAGAACCUCCGGUGGCAGGAGGUUCGACUCGAGCGAAGCGAGAGAACGUUGCGUCAGCAACGGCCCGCAGGGCGAGCCACGAAGUGGUGAGUCAUCCUCUAUCACCGACCA